AAGAGGAACAACCCCAGUGGCGGGGCCAGCUCUGGAGCCCUGCAUUCAGCUCCUGCAGUAACUCUGGAGCUCUCGGUCUGCAGGGCCUGGAUGCUUCGGGGCGGA
RNAcentral lists this microRNA precursor (105 nucleotides) under Canis lupus familiaris (dog). Its description in RNAcentral is "mir-8834 microRNA precursor family". It matches the Rfam family "mir-8834 microRNA precursor family". RNAcentral also lists the same sequence under 1 other name. Lineage: Eukaryota; Metazoa; Chordata; Mammalia; Carnivora; Canidae. The record is from Rfam by way of RNAcentral.